CGGCUGCGGCCGCUCUCAGGAGGGCCCGCCCGCUCUCCGUGCGGACGGGCAGUGGGCUUGGCUUUGGGGGUAGAACCUACGUUGCUUUCCCUUCACAUUGUGCCCUCUCGGAGCUUGACAGUGCUCCGGGGAGUCAACACAGGGGGAUAGAGCAGUUCACCCUCACUAAAACCCAGUGUGGAGUCCUCCCCUCCGCCCUGCAUCCUGUCGUGAGGCACAAAUGGUCCGUCCCUCUAUUCCCCCCGCACGGUCCCCUGGCUGCCUCUGAUGUUUCUCUCCCUCCGCAGUGCGUCCCGAGGGAUCGGCAAGCCCUCCAAAUGCUCCCGAUGGGCCCGAUGCCAAGCGCGGCAGGCCUGGGCAGGGGGAAGCGCUGGCGAUCUGCGCUCACGCCUCCAGACGCCUGUGGGUGAGCGGCACCCCGAGCUCAUCACUCGUCUUACAGCCUGGGGCUGAGGCCUCACAUAGCAGCCUCGUGCUUGAAAUGUUUUAGACACGGGUAAUCACACCUAAAUGUGAAGCAAUGCUGAAGACUUCUUAGAAAUAAAUAAUGCCUUCUACUGGAAGGGAUGAAAACAACACCAGGAGCUGGCAUUGAACAUCAGUAUGACUUCCUGAGUGGUUGGUUUCUGACUUAAUACAAGAAGAUUCCAGUUGUCACCUCUAAGAUUGUCUUGGAAUAGAAUUGAGACAAACACUAGCUAAAAUUAUGUCUUGGAUGAUCAUGUUGAAACAGGCAUCUCACCAUUUGCUGAAACAGGUUUCCUAACAAAAACUGCUGUAAUUUUUUUGUGGAUUAAUUGAAAUACACUAAGUAUUAAUUGAAAUAAAAUAUGAGCAAAAGUU
Molecule: long non-coding RNA, 843 nt
Organism: Prinia subflava (tawny-flanked prinia)
Lineage: Eukaryota; Metazoa; Chordata; Aves; Passeriformes; Cisticolidae
Exons: 3
Source: RefSeq, a predicted model, not a curated record